UGGGGAAUCUUAGACAAUGGGGGAAACCCUGAUCUAGCCAUGCCGCGUGAGUGACGAAGGCCCUAGGGUCGUAAAGCUCUUUCGCCAGGGAAGAUAAUGACGGUACCUGGUAAAGAAACCCCGGCUAACUCCGUGCCAGCAGCCGCGGUAAUACGGAGGGGGUUAGCGUUGUUCGGAAUUACUGGGCGUAAAGCGCGCGUAGGCGGACUGUUAAGUCAGGGGUGAAAUCCCGGGGCUCAACCCCGGAACUGCCCUUGAUACUGGCAGUCUUGAGUUCGAGAGAGGUGAGUGGAAUUCCGAGUGUAGAGGUGAAAUUCGUAGAUAUUCGGAGGAACACCAGUGGCGAAGGCGGCUCACUGGCUCGAUACUGACGCUGAGGUGCGAAAGUGUGGGGAGCAAACAGGAUUAGAUACCCCCGUAGUCC
Molecule: ribosomal RNA, 424 nt
Filed under: uncultured prokaryote
Description: bacterial SSU rRNA
Rfam family: Bacterial small subunit ribosomal RNA
Source: RNAcentral